ACGAACGCUGGCGGCAUGCCUAACACAUGCAAGUCGAACGAGACCUUCGGGUCUAGUGGCGCACGGGUGCGUAACGCGUGGGAACCUGCCCUUAGGUUCGGAAUAACUCCCCGAAAGGGGUGCUAAUACCGGAUAAUGUCUUCGGACCAAAGAUUUAUCGCCUUUGGAUGGGCCCGCGUUGGAUUAGCUAGUUGGUAGGGUAAAAGCCUACCAAGGCGAAGACCCAUAGCUGGUCUGAGAGGAUGAUCAGCCACACUGGGACUGAGACACGGCCCAGACUCCUACGGGAGGCAGCAGUGGGGAAUAUUGGACAAUGGGCGAAAGCCUGAUCCAGCAAUGCCGCGUGAGUGAUGAAGGCCUUAGGGUUGUAAAGCUCUUUUACCCGGGAUGAUAAUGGCAGUACCGGGAGAAUAAGCUCCGGCUAACUCCGUG
This 432-nucleotide ribosomal RNA is filed under the name uncultured bacterium. Its description in RNAcentral is "partial 16S ribosomal RNA". It matches the Rfam family "Bacterial small subunit ribosomal RNA", at positions 29 to 507 of the family's 1533-position model. The record is from RNAcentral.